Molecule: ribosomal RNA, 176 nt
Filed under: Vairimorpha ceranae
Lineage: Eukaryota; Fungi; Microsporidia; Nosematidae
Description: Nosema ceranae partial small subunit ribosomal RNA
Rfam family: Microsporidia small subunit ribosomal RNA
Source: RNAcentral
AGAGAUAUUUGAACUUGGAAUUGCUAGUAAAUUUUAUUAAAUAAGUAGAAUUGAAUGUGUCCCUGUUCUUUGUACACACCGCCCGUCGCUAUCUAAGAUGAUAUGUGUUGUGAAAUUAGUGAAAACUACUUAAACAAUAUGUAUUAGAUCUGAUAUAAGUCGUAACAUGGUUGCUG